CAGCAGCCGCGGGAAUACGAGGGGGGCAAGCGUUGUUCAGAAUUAUUGGGCGUAAAGGGUGCGUAGGCGGUUUCGUAAGUCUUAUGUGAAAUCUAUGGGCUCAACCCAUAGUCUGCAUGGGAAACUGCGAGGCUUGAGGAUGGGAGAGGUGAGUGGAAUUUCCGGUGUAGCGGUGAAAUGCGUAGAUAUCGGAAGGAACACCUGUGGCGAAAGCGGCUCACUAGACCAUUUCUGACGCUGAUGCACGAAAGCUAGGGGAGCAAACAGGAUUAGAUACCCCAGUAGUCCCUGUCUCUUAUAA
RNAcentral lists this ribosomal RNA (301 nucleotides) under uncultured bacterium. Its description in RNAcentral is "partial 16S ribosomal RNA". It matches the Rfam family "Bacterial small subunit ribosomal RNA", at positions 509 to 809 of the family's 1533-position model. The record is from RNAcentral.